UUCUGUACUGAUAAAGCUGCAGCAGCUUGUUGAAAAGUUUCAUUUAUUUGAACUUUGCGUCCACUGACACAACGCAAAAUGUACUGACAAGAUUCAGCAAGAUUUUGCAACUUUUAUAGUAUUUGGAGCAAUGAUACCAUUAUUUACCCAAAUGGAUGUGACUUUUUAAGUAAAUAUCAAGAAGCAAGUGUUUAUUAUUUGUCCUGAGAGAUAAAAAUCCCUCCACUCUGAGUACAUUAUUAACCAACAGGGAUCAAAAGGUCAAAACAAAGUUUCAGAAAACAAGUUUAUCAGAACUGGAAAAAAACGGCCAAAGGUCUAACGCAGAAAUCCGACUUUUAUCUGAGGGAUUCCAGGAGUAAAAUGGAGAUAAAUAUCCAGGUGAGUCCCAAGUGUGACCCAGGACCAUUGCCUCCUCAUCGUUGAAUAAGGACGUCCGCAGUGCAAAAGACAAACUUCUUCUUCUCUGAUCCUCCCACGCCGUGUGAUCUGAACUCAGCCGAGUGUCAGGACGACAGGCUGCACACACUUCAGGUAUUUUGGAUCCACGUUGUGAAAGUGAGAAGGGCUUCAUCUCCAGGCGAAGCGUGACGAAGCGUGUCGAGCAGAGAUCCCACCUUUAUGAAUUAAAUCCUGUCCUAACCGAAGACGCUCAAACUGGCUGACCUGCUCUCUCUGCUCUGAUCAGCAACCUGCUCAGGUUUCCCUGAGUUUCAUCUCCUUCAUUAAAAUGCUCUGCCCUCAGGCAGCUUUGUCGCUUCACAGGCGUUUCUAAAGGUGUUAGAUAAGGUAAGAGUAACGCGCGCCCGCCAGAAUCAGGACGAAUCGGCUCAAACCAGCAUGUGGGUUUCUCCUGAGCCAUAUUUGCCAGUUUUUUCCUUUUAAUUCCUCAUGUUUUGGAUUUUGUUCCAUUAAUUUGUUGCGGGUGUAAAUCCUGGCCACGAUGUGCAGCAAUGGCAACUGGUAAAAUGUUUACCGGUUUUCUCAACUGUUGACUGUGUUGACAGUUUUUACGACGUACAGCGCUUUGAACUGCCUUGUUUCUGAAAUGUGAAACACAAAACCUUGAUUGAUUGAUUGAUUGAAGACAGAGAUUUGACUGGGAGAGAAGCAAAAAAACAACCAGGAUCUGACAAGUAACAACCGAAACCCAGUAAAGAUAAGUCCUAAAGUAGAAAAAUGACCACACAGGAAGAAAAACCAAACCAAAUAGUGAGGCUUACACCAACUUGGUGUAAACUAGUAAACCAUUCGCUUGUAAGAAAGGAAGAAAAACAAAACAAUGAAAAGAAUAAAAAAUAAAUAAAUAAAAACAACAAAGCUUCCAGACAACCAUAAAGUUAACAAUGCAAAACAGGAAACAAUCUGCAAAACACCCUGAUAAUUUGGUGUGUGUAUUUAAAUUUUAUCACUUUUCCCGUAGCGUGAGUUCACUGAUGCAGGGAGUUGUCGCUAUUUUAAGUACUGGUUGCCAUGGGAACCACACUUUUUGUAUCCUUUUUUGCCAACUACCAGCAUGGAGAGGGAAAACGCGUUUGUACUAAAUCUGCUUAUUUUUUAAACAUGAGUUUUUAAUCCUGCCUGGUCCAGCAGGUAAAAAGUUUUGAUGUAACUUCAUGAAGGUUUCCUGUUACCUUUUUUUUUUUUUAAGAUUCAUUGCUUGUUGAAAAACCCAAAUCAGAUCAAUAUGCCGGCUUUGCAAAACGCUGAAAUCCUCCUUUUCGUUAGCAGCAGCAUGUUGUAAUUUGUCUCCACCCAUCAACCAUCUGUCAGCUUUCAUGUGUGACUCUCACAUGCAGAUUAUGGAAAUACAGACUAAUAACAUCCACAGAGAAGCAGCUUAAUUUAAAAAUACGACUCAAAUCAAAGCAACUUUUCACAUUUCAACAGAAAGUGUCUGGAUUUCUGUGCAUAAGAGCUAAAACUAAUUUAUUAAUAAAGUGCAACUUGCAGGGAGAUUUCAGACAUUGAAAAAGAAAUACCUCAAACUGAGGGUUUAGACAGGGUUGUCCAAAGUGCGGCCCGGGGGCCAUUUGUGGUCCUUGGACGGAUUUUAUGUGGCCCCCAAGUGCAAGACUUUUACUGAAAAGCUGCGUCCAAUUCUUUCUUAAAUUUGGCUAAAAAUGGCCAAUGUUUUAAAAUAAAGUGAAUCCUCUUAUGACUGAAAAUAAAUUUCAAAAUUUAAAAGAAACUGAAAAUAUGAUGUCUUUCUGUCAAUACAGCAAACAUGGAAACUUAAAGUAUUAAUAAGUAGUAAAGUUCUGCAAAAAAAUCUCAGAAAUUUGCUAGAAAAAAU
Molecule: long non-coding RNA, 2296 nt
Organism: Poecilia latipinna (sailfin molly)
Lineage: Eukaryota; Metazoa; Chordata; Actinopteri; Cyprinodontiformes; Poeciliidae
Exons: 3
Source: RefSeq, a predicted model, not a curated record